ACCCGCUGAACUUAAGCAUAUCAAUAAGCGGAGGAAAAGAAACCAACAGGGAUUGCCCUAGUAACGGCGAGUGAAGCGGCAACAGCUCAAAUUUGAAAUCUGGCGUCUUUGGCGUCCGAGCUGUAAUUUGCAGAGGGCGCUUUGGCAUUGGCAGCGGUCCAAGUUCCUUGGAACAGGACGUCACAGAGGGUGAGAAUCCCGUACGUGGUCGCUAGCCUUUACCGUGUAAAGCCCCUUCGACGAGUCGAGUUGUUUGGGAAUGCAGCUCUAAAUGGGAGGUAAAUUUCUUCUAAAGCUAAAUACUGGCCAGAGACCGAUAGCGCACAAGUAGAGUGAUCGAAAGAUGAAAAGCACUUUGGAAAGAGAGUUAAAAAGCACGUGAAAUUGUUGAAAGGGAAGCGCUUGCAGCCAGACUUGCCUGUAGUUGCUCAUCCGGGUUUUUACCCGGUGCACUCUUCUAUAGGCAGGCCAGCAUCAGUUUGGGCGGUUGGAUAAAGGUCUCUGUCACGUACCUCCUCUCGGGGAGAACUUAUAGGGGAGACGUAAUGCAACCAGCCUGGACUGAGGUCCGCGCAUCUGCUAGGAUGCUGGCGUAAUGGCUGUAAGCGGCCCGUCUUGAAACACGGACCAAGGAGUCUAACAUCUAUGCGAGUGUUUGGGUGUCAAGCCCGAGCGCGUAAUGAAAGUGAACGGAGGUGGGAACCUUUCGGGGUGCACCAUCGACCGAUCCUGAUGUCUUCGGAUGGAUUUGAGUAAGAGCAUAGCUGUUGGGACCCGAAAGAUGGUGAACUAUGCUUGAAUAGGGUGAAGCCAGAGGAAACUCUGGUGGAGGCUCGCAGCGGUUCUGACGUGCAAAUCGAUCGUCAAAUUUGGGCAUAGGGGCGAAAGACUAAUCGAACUAUCUAGUA
This 908-nucleotide ribosomal RNA is filed under the name Boeremia exigua var. exigua. Its description in RNAcentral is "LSU rRNA". It matches the Rfam family "Eukaryotic large subunit ribosomal RNA", at positions 23 to 949 of the family's 3401-position model. The record is from RNAcentral. Lineage: Eukaryota; Fungi; Ascomycota; Dothideomycetes; Pleosporales; Didymellaceae.